CGGCGGGCACCGGGAGCAGGUUUGACUGACUCCCGCUCCCGCCCAGCCUCCUCCAGUUCGCUGCCGACCCCUAAACUUGAAAAUCAAAGUGAAUGAAGCACUGAUGUGGAAUGCACUGAUGGCUGAGAUAAUGAAAGCAUAAAUUCCACGUGUCUAGUGGGAGAGGGUGAGUAUAUUGAGAGCACCAGCCCCAAGUGAUCAAUAAAGCUCAUGGGUAAAGGUCAGAGUGUCAUCAAGUGACCAGGAGGAGCUGGAGGCAGCAGAUGCCUGUGUUUGGUGGCCCAUGCUUCAUGCUGGGGACUGACUGUGUGAGAAAACCUUCCAGGCACACAGCUGCUGGAUUUUGGGAUCUAGAAACCUAGGGAGUAGGGAGGGGAAUAAGACAAAGGAGCCAGGUGCUUUCUGGAUUCAGACUUGCUGGCCUGUGGACCCAACAGUCUUACCCUCUGUCAGCUGCUGGGGAAGGCAGGGUUGGACCUGAUGCAGCUUGAGCCUGGCAAGGGAAUUCCAUGGAAAAUAAAUCCUGGAUGGGUGGGUGAUUGGAUGUGGGUGCAGGAGUAGUGAUUUGGGAAUCCGUGUUACCUGAAAUGAGGCCUUGGAAUGUUGUUUGGUUGUAAACCUGUGGUAGAGAACAAAAUAAAACUUCUGUUGCUUGGUGUGUA
Apus apus (common swift) is the source of this 662-nucleotide long non-coding RNA. RefSeq lists it as uncharacterized. Lineage: Eukaryota; Metazoa; Chordata; Aves; Apodiformes; Apodidae. The transcript has 4 exons. The record is from RefSeq and is a predicted model, not a curated record.